This 320-nucleotide ribosomal RNA is filed under the name uncultured eukaryote. RNAcentral's name for it is "partial 18S ribosomal RNA". It matches the Rfam family "Eukaryotic small subunit ribosomal RNA", at positions 1470 to 1796 of the family's 1831-position model. The record is from RNAcentral.
CCCCUAGAUGUUCUGGGCCGCACGCGCGCUACACUGAACAGUUCAACAAGUCUUAACCUUGGCCGAUAGGUCUGGGUAAUCUUUGAACGCUGUUCGUGAUUGGGAUAGACCUUUGCAAUUAUGGGUCUUCAACGAGGAAUUCCUAGUAAACGCAAGUCAUCAGCUUGCAUUGAUUACGUCCCUGCCCUUUGUACACACCGCCCGUGGCACCUACCGAUUGAAUGGUCCGGUGAAAUCUCGGGACGGCGGCUUGGUCGCUUGCGUCCGACUGCUGAAACUUGAUUAAACCAUAUCAUUUAGAGGAAGGUGAAGUCGUAACA